GACGAACGCUGGCGGCGUGCUUAACACAUGCAAGUCGAACGGAAAGGCCCAGCUUGCUGGGUACUCGAGUGGCGAACGGGUGAGUAACACGUGGGUGAUCUGCCCUGCACUCUGGGAUAAGCCUGGGAAACUGGGUCUAAUACCGGAUAUGAUCAACUGUCGCAUGGUGGUUGGUGGAAAGCUUUUGCGGUGUGGGAUGGGCCCGCGGCCUAUCAGCUUGUUGGUGGGGUAAUGGCCUACCAAGGCGACGACGGGUAGCCGACCUGAGAGGGUGAUCGGCCACACUGGGACUGAGACACGGCCCAGACUCCUACGGGAGGCAGCAGUGGGGAAUAUUGCACAAUGGGCGCAAGCCUGAUGCAGCGACGCCGCGUGAGGGAUGACGGCCUUCGGGUUGUAAACCUCUUUCACCAGGGACGAAGCGUGAGUGACGGUACCUGGAGAAGAAGCACCGGCCAACUACGUGCCAGCCGCCGCCGUAA
Molecule: ribosomal RNA, 482 nt
Filed under: uncultured bacterium
Lineage: Bacteria
Description: partial 16S ribosomal RNA
Rfam family: Bacterial small subunit ribosomal RNA
Source: RNAcentral